RNAcentral lists this unclassified non-coding RNA (301 nucleotides) under plant metagenome. RNAcentral's name for it is "partial contains 5.8S ribosomal RNA, internal transcribed spacer 2, and large subunit ribosomal RNA". The stretch from base 1 to 105 matches the Rfam family "5.8S ribosomal RNA", at positions 50 to 154 of the family's 154-position model. The record is from RNAcentral.
GAAAUGCGAUAAGUAGUGUGAAUUGCAGAAUUCAGUGAAUCAUCGAAUCUUUGAACGCACAUUGCCCCCUAUGGUAUUCCGUAGGGCAUGCCUGUUCGAGCGUCAUUUACACCUUCAAGCCUUGCUUGGUGUUGGGUGACUGUGGCCCCUUUGGGGCCACUCGCCUUAAAGUCAUUGGCGGCCGGUUCGUUGGCUUUGUAGCGCAGCACAAUUGCGUCCUCGAAGCCGCUGGACCAGCUCCCAGAAGCUAAUUUUAAAUGUUUGACCUCGAAUCAGGUAGGGAUACCAGCUGAACUUAAGC